UGCCUAUAAUAAUUUAAAUCAUUGCUUUCAUUGCAGAUACUUCAACAACAGACAGUUCUUCUGCAGAUACAGAUGAGAAUUUGGAAGGGGAUGAAAAUGAUGAGACACCAAAUGGAGAUCUGCCUGAACCUAGAGGUAAUGAUGCUGUACCGGUAAAUGAACCAGAGCCGGUGACACAAGAGGUUGAAAAUGAACAGCCAAAGAAGAAAAAAAAGAAAACAAAAACAAGAUUUGAAUUGUCACUGGAGUCAUUCAAUGCG
Anneissia japonica is the source of this 260-nucleotide long non-coding RNA. RefSeq lists it as uncharacterized. The record is from RefSeq and is a predicted model, not a curated record. The transcript is spliced from 3 exons. Lineage: Eukaryota; Metazoa; Echinodermata; Crinoidea; Comatulida; Comatulidae.